AACGAACGCUGGCGGCGUGCUUAACACAUGCAAGUCGAACGCGAAAGGGGGUAACUCCCGGUAGCGUGGCAGACGGGUGAGUAACACGUGGGUAACCUGCCCGGAGGUGGGGGAUAACCCUUCGAAAGGAGGGCUAAUACCGCAUGACAUCCUCGGGUUCUUGGAUCUGAGGAUCAAAGCUAGCCUCUGCUUGCAAGCUAGCGCCACCGGGAGGGCCCNCGUCCCAUUAGCUAGGUUGGUGAGGGNGACCGGCUCACCAAGGCUACGAUGGGUAGCCGGCCUGAGAGGGCGACCGGCCACACUGGAACUGAGACACGGUCCAG
Molecule: ribosomal RNA, 323 nt
Filed under: uncultured bacterium
Lineage: Bacteria
Description: bacterial SSU rRNA
Rfam family: Bacterial small subunit ribosomal RNA
Source: RNAcentral